GGGCUAGCUGGUCUGAGAGGAUGGUCAGCCACACUGGGACUGAGACACUGCCCAGACUCCUACGGGAGGCUGCAGUCGAGGAUCAUAGUCAAUGCGCGAAAGCGUGAACUUGCGACGCUGCGUGGAGGAUGACGGCCUUCGGGUUGUAAACUCCUGUCAUUUGGGAACAAUUAUCUCACGGUGAAUAGCCGUGAGACUUGAUGGUACCAAAAGAGGAAGCCACGGCUAACUCUGUGCCAGCAGCCGCGGUAAUACAGAGGUGGCGAGCGUUGUUCGGAUUUACUGGGCGUAAAGCGUGCGUAGGUGGUCUCGUGUGUCGGAUGUGAAAGCCCAUGGCUCAACUGUGGAAUUGCAUUCGAAACUGCGGAACUAGAGUGCAGGAGGGGAGAGCGGAAUUCUUGGUGUAGCGGUGAAAUGCGUUGAUAUCAAGAAGAACACCGGUGGCGAAGGCGGCUCUCUGGAAUGUUACUGACACUGAGGCACGAAAGCUGGGGGAGCGAACAGGGUUAGAUACCCUGGUAGUCCCAGCCGUAAACGGUGCGCACUUGGUGUAGGGGGUAUUGACCCCCCCUGUGCCGGAGCUAACGCGUUAAGUGCGCCGCCCGGGGAGUACGGCCGCAAGUCUAAAACUCAAAGAAAUUGACGGGGGCCCGCACAAGCGGAGGAGCAUGUGGCUUAAUUCGAUGCAACGCGAAGAACCUUACCAGGGCUUGACAUGCAGCUGCACGGCCGGUGAAAGUCGGUCUCCUUCGAGGGUGCUGCACAGGUGCUGCAUGGCUGUCGUCAGUUCGUGCCGUGAGGUGUUGGGUUAAGUCCCGCAACGAACGCAACCCUUGUGUUUAGUUGCCACCGGCGGUGAUGAGCCGCCGAGCACUCUAGACAGACUGCCCGUACAAGCGGGAGGAAGGUGGGGACGACGUCAAGUCAGUAUGGCCCUUACGCCCUGGGCUGCACACGUGCUACAAUGGCAGGUACAGAGGGACGCAAUGCCGCGAGGUGGAGCAAAUCCCCAAAACCGGCCCCAGUUCGGAUUGGAGUCUGCAACUCGACUCCAUGAAGUUGGAUUCGCUAGUAACGGCGUAUCAGCUACGGCGCCGUGAAUACGUUCCCGGGCCUUGUACACACCGCCCGUCACAUCAUGAAAGCCGUCUGCACCCGAAGUCGCUGAGCCAACUUUUCACGAAGAGGCAGGUGCCGAAGGUGUGGGUGGUGAUUG
RNAcentral lists this ribosomal RNA (1216 nucleotides) under metagenome. RNAcentral's name for it is "bacterial SSU rRNA". It matches the Rfam family "Bacterial small subunit ribosomal RNA", at positions 280 to 1477 of the family's 1533-position model. The record is from RNAcentral.